Molecule: ribosomal RNA, 465 nt
Filed under: uncultured bacterium
Lineage: Bacteria
Description: partial 16S ribosomal RNA
Rfam family: Bacterial small subunit ribosomal RNA
Source: RNAcentral
CCUACGGGGGGCAGCAGUAGGGAAUCUUCCACAAUGGACGAAAGUCUGAUGGAGCAACGCAGCGUGAGUGAAGACGGGUUUCGGCUCGUAAAGCUCUGUUGGUCGUGAAGAAAGAUAGAGGUAGUAACUGGCCUUUAUUUGACGGUAAUUACUUAGAAAGUCACGGCUAACUACGUGCCAGCAGCCGAGGGAAUACGUAGGUGGCAUGCGUUGUCCGGAUUUGUUGGGCGUAAAGCGAGUGCAGGCGGUACAGUAAGUCUGAUGUGAAAGCCGUCGGCUCAACCGGAGAUUUGCAUCAGAAACUGUUGAACUUGAGUGCAGAAGAGGAGAGUGGAACGCCAUGUGUAGCGGUGGAAUGCGUAGAUAUAUGGAAGAACACCAGUGGCGAAGGCGGCUCUCUGGUCUGCAACUGACGCUGAGGCUCGAAAGCAUGGGUAGCGAACAGGAUUAGAUACCCGAGUAGUC